AUCCAUCUGACGAGUCCGAAAUAGGACGAAAUGCGCAUCCUGGAU
This 45-nucleotide non-coding RNA is filed under the name Trichobilharzia regenti. The record is from RNAcentral. Lineage: Eukaryota; Metazoa; Platyhelminthes; Trematoda; Strigeidida; Schistosomatidae.